This 340-nucleotide long non-coding RNA is filed under the name Elaeis guineensis (African oil palm). RNAcentral describes it as "long non-coding RNA (EGUI_LNC021411)". The record is from RNAcentral. Lineage: Eukaryota; Viridiplantae; Streptophyta; Magnoliopsida; Arecales; Arecaceae.
UCAAUAUUGUAUACAACAUCUCCUCUAAUCUCUAUUUAGAAAUCCAUUCAUUGAAGUUACAAGACUAUCCUUCGAUUAGAUUGACUCUAACAGAUCAAUGAACAGGCCAUUUUCUCCAUCUUUUGCUGGGACCAUUGCAAGUUAGAGGACGGAAUAACCUGUUCACAUUUGAUAAGACCGAUAUUGCCCCCGUUCUCAUCUAUUCCCUCUUCCCAACUUCCUCAUUCUCCUCUCCUUUCCUCUUCAAUCCUCUCCUUCCCUCUUUACCAUCUACUCAUCUCUCUACACCUUUACUUCUCAAGGUUAUCUCCUCCUCUUGCUUGGUCCUUGCCAUCAAUUG